Molecule: ribosomal RNA, 483 nt
Filed under: uncultured bacterium
Lineage: Bacteria
Description: partial 16S ribosomal RNA
Rfam family: Bacterial small subunit ribosomal RNA
Source: RNAcentral
AUUGAACGCUGGCGGCAGGCCUAACACAUGCAAGUCGAGCGGAUGAAGGGAGCUUGCUCCUGGAUUCAGCGGCGGACGGGUGAGUAAUGCCUAGGAAUCUGCUGGUAGUGGGGGAUAACGUUCGGAAACGGGCGCUAAUACCGCAUACGUCCUGAGGGAGAAAGUGGGGGAUCUUCGGACCUCACGCUAUCAGGUGAGCCUAGGUCGGAUUAGCUAGUUGGUGGGGUAAAGGCCUACCAAGGCGACGAUCCGUAACUGGUCUGAGAGGAUGAUCAGUCACACUGGAACUGAGACACGGUCCAGACUCCUACGGGAGGCAGCAGUGGGGAAUAUUGGACAAUGGGCGAAAGCCUGAUCCAGCCAUGCCGCGUGUGUGAAGAAGGUCUUCGGAUUGUAAAGCACUUUAAGUUGGGAGGAAGGGCAGUAAGUUAAUACCUUGCUGUUUUGACGUUACCAACAGAAUAAGCACCGGCUAACUUCGUG